This 836-nucleotide ribosomal RNA is filed under the name uncultured bacterium. RNAcentral describes it as "bacterial SSU rRNA". It matches the Rfam family "Bacterial small subunit ribosomal RNA", at positions 53 to 905 of the family's 1533-position model. The record is from RNAcentral.
ACAUGCAAGUCGAACGGGUGACUCAGGGCUUGCUCUGAGUCGCUAGUGGCGGACGGCUGAGUAACGCGUAGGUGACCUACCCCGAAGUGGGGAAUAACUGCCCGAAAGGGUGGCUAAUACCGCAUACGAUCGGUCAUUCAUUUGAUUGAUCAAAGCAGCAAUGCGCUUUGGGAGGGGCCUGCGUCCGAUUAGCUCGUUGGUGGGGUAAUGGCUCACCAAGGCGACGAUCGGUAGGUGGUCUGAGAGGACGAUCACCCAGACUGGGACUGAGACACGGCCCAGACUCCUACGGGAGGCAGCAGUCGGGAAUUUUGCUCAAUGGACGAAAGUCUGAAGCAGCAACGCCGCGUGAGGGAUGAAGGCCUUCGGGUUGUAAACCUCUUUUCUCAGGGACGAUAAUGACGGUACCUGAGGAAUAAGCCACGGCUAACUACGUGCCAGCAGCCGCGGUAAUACGUAGGUGGCAAGCGUUGUCCGGAUUUACUGGGCGUAAAGAGCGCGCAGGCGGUUGAUCAAGUCGAAUGUGAAAGCCCCCGGCUCAACUGGGGAGGGUCAUUCGAUACUGCUCGACUUGAAGGCAGGAGAGGGUAGUGGAAUUCCCGGUGUAGUGGUGAAAUGCGUAGAUAUCGGGAGGAACACCAGUGGCGAAGGCGACUACCUGGCCUGUUCUUGACGCUGAGGCGCGAAAGCUGGGGGAGCAAACGGGAUUAGAUACCCCGGUAGUCCCAGCCGUAAACGAUGGACACUAGGUGUUGGUGGUAUCAACCCCGCCAGUGCCGUAGCUAACGCAUUAAGUGUCCCGCCUGGGGAGUACGGCCGCAAGGCUAAACUUCAAU